GUUGACAAUAUUUUACCGCGAAAGAGAGGCCAACGUUUGCGCUACAGAAUUCGAAGUUAAAAAGAAUAUCAGUUUGUUUUGCUUGUCACAAAGCGUGCAUAUUACAGGACUAAUCAUCCCAAACAGUUCCAUCGUCAAGUGAUAACCCCGGGAUUUCUGCAUCAUGUUCUACACGAUCUUCCAGACAGCGUAGGAGAAAAUUUGUCGGGCGGUGAAUCCUCCAUAAACGGCGUGUUGAUGAGAAAACACAUCAGUAUAAAUGGUAUGAGGGCAAUGUAUUGGACUGUGUGGAAAGUAAAGAUGGACGAGAUGGUGCUGUGUAUGAAGUCCAGUACAAGGGCAAGAAGGAGAAGGUUUUAGUGAAUGAACUACAGCAGGAUUUGGAUAAUGGUGCAGUGAGAUUCAUAGACAUAUAAUUUAGAUGAUCGCGUAAAGGAUGGGAGGGUGCAGUGCAGUAUAAAGACGAUGAGGGGAACGUUUUGGUGGAUCAUCAUUCAGAUAUUGGUCCAGUGAAAUUUACAGACAUCUUUUAGGAGAUAUGUCCCUUGAAAACAAUCAGAAGAGACAUGUAACGGCUGGGAUGGUGUAGUGCGGUACAAAGACGAUGAGAGGAAAGGUUCGAUUGAUUAUCAUGACCUACAGCAGGAUUGAGAUAUUGGUUCAAUGAAGUUCAUAGACAUCUAUUCAGGUAUGUAAUGUUGUAAUGAUGUAAAACAUGUUUUUUUCAGCAUUAUUAAAUCCAUAAAGAAUAGGGAUUGUUUUGGCUUCAAAUAAAAAUCGGUUGAACAUAUAUAUAUAUAUAUAGCAUGGUGCUUCAGAUAGCUUACAUAAUAGAUGUGUUCAAAAGAAAUACCAUCUUUUUUUGUUUUUUUAA
Molecule: long non-coding RNA, 874 nt
Organism: Pecten maximus
Lineage: Eukaryota; Metazoa; Mollusca; Bivalvia; Pectinida; Pectinidae
Exons: 4
Source: RefSeq, a predicted model, not a curated record